AAGAGACAGCAGUCGCCGCGGUAAUACGUAGGGUGCAAGCGUUAAUCGGAAUUACUGGGCGUAAAGCGUGCGCAGGCGGUUAUAUAAGACAGAUGUGAAAUCCCCGGGCUCAACCUGGGAACUGCAUUUGUGACUGUAUAGCUAGAGUACGGCAGAGGGGGAUGGAAUUCCGCGUGUAGCAGUGAAAUGCGUAGAUAUGCGGAGGAACACCGAUGGCGAAGGCAAUCCCCUGGGCCUGUACUGACGCUCAUGCACGAAAGCGUGGGGAGCAAACAGGAUUAGAUACCCCGGUAGUCCCUGUCUCUUAUAC
Molecule: ribosomal RNA, 310 nt
Filed under: uncultured bacterium
Lineage: Bacteria
Description: partial 16S ribosomal RNA
Rfam family: Bacterial small subunit ribosomal RNA
Source: RNAcentral